RNAcentral lists this long non-coding RNA (223 nucleotides) under Medicago truncatula (barrel medic). Its description in RNAcentral is "long non-coding RNA (MTRU_LNC001937)". Lineage: Eukaryota; Viridiplantae; Streptophyta; Magnoliopsida; Fabales; Fabaceae. The record is from RNAcentral.
UUUCCUAGUAGAUAAGGAUGUGGCUAUUUUUAACUGUGUAUUAUCAGAGAAGGUUCCUUGUUUGAUACUUUGAGUGAAUAUGUGCCGAGUACUUGUUGAAAUGAGUUAUCAUGCAUGCACUUGAAAAAAGAAAGCUACUAUUUGAAUUCUGAAAACAGAGUUUGGAAAAGGUCUAUUGGAGUGUUCUGUUAUUUUGUUACAAUUCUGGUUUCUGUUAUUUAUG